This 253-nucleotide ribosomal RNA is filed under the name uncultured bacterium. Its description in RNAcentral is "partial 16S ribosomal RNA". It matches the Rfam family "Bacterial small subunit ribosomal RNA", at positions 524 to 776 of the family's 1533-position model. The record is from RNAcentral.
UACGAAGGGGGCUAGCGUUGUUCGGAAUUACUGGGCGUAAAGCGCGCGCAGGUGGUCUUUCAAGUCAGUGGUGAAAGCCCGGAGCUCAACUCCGGAAAUGCCAUUGAAACUGUAAGACUUGAGGAUGAGAGAGGUGAGUGGAAUUCCCAGUGUAGCGGUGAAAUUCGUAGAUAUUGGGAAGAACACCGGUGGCGAAGGCGGCUCACUGGCUCAUAUCUGACGCUCAGGCGCGACAGCGUGGGGAGCAAACAGG